This 687-nucleotide ribosomal RNA is filed under the name Triticum aestivum (bread wheat). Its description in RNAcentral is "partial small subunit ribosomal RNA". The record is from RNAcentral. Lineage: Eukaryota; Viridiplantae; Streptophyta; Magnoliopsida; Poales; Poaceae.
AUGAAGCACCCACACCCAUACAAGGUUCAAUGGCUAAGCAACAACGGCACAAUCCAAGUCGAGCAUAGAGUACAAGUCUCUUUCAAGAUUGGAGCUUACGAAGACACUUUGGAGUGUGAUGUCAUCCCGAUGACUGUGUGCCACCUCCUUCUAGGACGGCCAUGGCAAUAUGACCGCGGUGUCAUCCACAAUGGGCGUACAAACAACUAUAGCUUCAAGAUGGAAGGAAAUGAGUAUGUGCUACGACCUAUGUCGCCAAGCCAAGUAAUCACCGACAAGCAAGCAACCCAUCGUGGAGAGAAUAGUGAGAGAGCGAACCACCAAAAAGAGAGUGAGCGCCACAAGCCCAAAUUGAGUGCCUCCACGAUGAGCAACAAGAAAAACUUAGUUCUCUUUGCCACCAAAUGUGAGAUGAGAGAAGUGUGUGAGAACCCAUCAAGUGUCCUACACUAUGUCCUAUUGUGCAAGGACGAGGCACCAAAAACUAACACCUCUCACAAUUUACCUUUGGUGUUAUCUUCUUUAUUGCAGGAAUUCCAAGAUGUUUUCCCCGACGAGUUACCUCCGGGUCUACCUCCACUACGAGGCAUCGAACAUCGCAUCGACCUCAUCCCCGGAGCGCCACUUCCAAACAAGGCUCCCUACCGAGUAACCCCGAAGAAACCAAAGAAAUACAAAGGCAAGUAA